Molecule: ribosomal RNA, 442 nt
Filed under: uncultured bacterium
Lineage: Bacteria
Description: partial 16S ribosomal RNA
Rfam family: Bacterial small subunit ribosomal RNA
Source: RNAcentral
CCUACGGGAGGCAGCAGUGAGGAAUAUUGGUCAAUGGGCGCAAGCCUGACCCAGCCACGCCGCGUGAAGGAAGAAGGCCUUCGGGUUGUAAACUUCUUUUGACAGGGAAGAGCAGAAGACGGUACCUGUCGAAUAAGCCACGGCUAACUACGUGCCAGCAGCCGCGGUAAUACGUAGGGGGCAAGCGUUGUCCGGAUUUACUGGGGGUAAAGGGCGUGUAGCCGGGCUGACAAGUCAGAUGUGAGAUCCGGGGGCUCAACCCCCGAAUUGCAUUUGAAACGGUUGGUCUUGAGUAUCGGAGAGGCAGGCGGAAUUCCUAGUGUAGCGGUGAAAUGCGUAGAGAUGAGGAGGAACACCGGUGGCGAAGGCGGCCUGCUGGACGACAACUGACGGUGAGGCGCGAAAGCGUGGGGAGCAAACAGGAUUAGAUACCCUUGUAGUC